This 480-nucleotide ribosomal RNA is filed under the name uncultured bacterium. RNAcentral's name for it is "bacterial SSU rRNA". It matches the Rfam family "Bacterial small subunit ribosomal RNA", at positions 501 to 981 of the family's 1533-position model. The record is from RNAcentral.
CUACGUGCCAGCAGCCGCGGUAAUACGGAGGAUGCGAGCGUUAUCCGGAUUUAUUGGGUUUAAAGGGUGCGUAGGUUGUUCGGUAAGUCAGCGGUGAAACCUGAGCGCUCAACGUUCAGCCUGCCGUUGAAACUGCCGGGCUUGAGUUCAGUGGCGGCAGGCGGAAUUCGUGGUGUAGCGGUGAAAUGCAUAGAUAUCACGAGGAACUCCGAUUGCGAAGGCAGCUUGCCAUACUGCGACUGACACUGAAGCACGAAGGCGUGGGUAUCAAACAGGAUUAGAUACCCUGGUAGUCCACGCAGUAAACGAUGAUUACUAGGAGUUUGCGAUAUACCGUCAAGCUUCCACAGCGAAAGCGUUAAGUAAUCCACCUGGGGAGUACGCCGGCAACGGUGAAACUCAAAGGAAUUGACGGGGGCCCGCACAAGCGGAGGAACAUGUGGUUUAAUUCGAUGAUACGCGAGGAACCUUACCCGGGAU